GAACGCACCUUGCGCCCCUUGGUCAUUCCGAAGGGCAUGCCUGUUUGAGUAUCAUGAACACCUCAACUCUUGUGGUUUCCCACAACGAGCUUGGACUGUGGAGGUUUUGUUGGCCCUGUGGUUGGCUCCUCUCAAAUGGAUCAGCUUGCCGGUGUUUGGUGGCGUUACGGGUGUGAUAAUUAUCUGCGCUCGUGGUCGCCUCCAAAUGACCUCCAGUGAUGGAGGUCCACUGGAGCUCAUAAAUGUCUCUCCCCAGUGAAGACAGCCUUUGAACGUUCGAUCUCAAAUCAGGUAGGACUACCCGCUGAACUUAAG
Molecule: unclassified non-coding RNA, 315 nt
Filed under: uncultured Tomentella
Lineage: Eukaryota; Fungi; Basidiomycota; Agaricomycetes; Thelephorales; Thelephoraceae
Description: sequence contains 5.8S rRNA gene
Source: RNAcentral